AACGCACGAGACCUGCGGACCUGCGGAAGGAUCAUUAAUGAGAAGCUGCCCCUCGUGGGUAGACCUCCCACCCUCUGUGAACUUACCUUUGUUGCUUUGGCGGGCCCGUCCUCUGGACCGCCGGCUUCGGCUGGCCCGUGCCUGCCAGAGGAUUCCAAACCCUGUCUGUCAGUGUUGUCUGAGUCUAUAUGAAAUCGUUAAAACUUUCAGCAAUGGAUCUCUAGAUCGGAAGAGCACACG
RNAcentral lists this unclassified non-coding RNA (240 nucleotides) under soil metagenome. RNAcentral describes it as "partial contains 5.8S ribosomal RNA, internal transcribed spacer 2, and large subunit ribosomal RNA". The record is from RNAcentral.